AGUAAAGUACCAGCAAAAAAAAUGAGGUUUACUUCAAAAGGCAGCUGUAAUACUGUUAACUGGUGUAGACUAGUUAUCAGCACUUCUCAAAAGAAAGAAUUGUAAAUAGGGACUAGUUACAUCCUGGGUGUUUUUUUUUUAAUAUAUUGUAUAUAUUGUAGUAUCAGCUAUCCCUGCAAGAAGGACAAGGUACAUUGAGUUUUUCUAGAUCUAUGAAAGAGUAAAUUAUUUGAUUGCCACUUAUAAGAUAAAUUAUUUAAAUGUUUAAUGAUGAUCAUGUAUUUCCAAUGUGUUUUUCAGUUUUCAGGUGACAACCUCUAGUGAUAUACUUCUAAAAACUUACAGAAAGAGAAUACUUCUGUAGCAGAAAUGCUAAGUCUUGGCCUGAACCAGAGAUUUAGCACCUGGUAGGAAGUCAGAGCUAACCUCGGGGAGCUCAGGUGCAUACAAUUUACCCAAGUGACUAGAAGAUGUGUAGCCAGGUUGCACCCUUUUUUAGACCUCAUUUAGAGGUUGUCAGUGGAAGAGAGGGUAUUUUGCUGGAGAUCUCUGUGCUUGAGGCCUUCUGAAGGUAAGUGGUUUCUUUCUUUUGUUUCUGUGCCCAUGGCUGUUGUAUUUGAGCAAAUCCCUGCUUUCUGUAGCCUGGGACUUUGCUGCUCUGCUCUUAUUGAUGUGCUUUCUAUCAUGUUGCAGCUUCCAAAAAGCUACCGUUUUAUGGGAAAGUGAUUAAAGUAUCUUUAGGAAGAAGCUAUCAGGUUAAAAGAGGCCUGUACUCUAUGACAGCCAUUACUCUUGUGUGGAGUGUUUGCUUCAGCAAUUGUGGUUUACAGCUUUCACUGCUGGGUGCUAUACUGGAGAGCUUAAACCAAAUGGAGGAAAGGAGGAAAGGACUUCAAUUCAAUUAUAGUAAAUUAUAGUACUCAAAGUUCAGGAUUUAUCCAAAGGAGAUUGGAAAAGUGGUGAGAAAAUAUUCACAGCUUAUGUUCUCUUCUGGGGAAAGCUGGUUUGCUAGAGAGAUAUGAUUUUUGGCUAAGAUUACUUAAUACCUACCUGUGUUUGUUUAUUUGUUUUUUAAAUGUAGGAUAUACUCACAAACAUUGCUGUGAACAUCCAGAAUCUCAGAAAUGAUUACUUCAAGUAGCUUGGAGUGGAAGGGUUCACUGUGAAGUUCAGGUUUGACUGAGACAGGUAACAGUUCAUUUCUUGAAGCCAGGUGGUUUGGAUCCACACUGAAGUGUCCUCCAUAUCAGUCUGGAAUAUCCUGGAAAUAAGCUUGCAGUUCAGACUAAUCUUUGUGUUGAAAACAGCCAUUUUAAUGCAUUAAUCAUCACAACGGCUUAUAUAAGUCAGUAAAUGUGAGAGUAUGUGUUGCUGCAUUGCAGUUAAUGUAUGUUUGAGUUGAAAAUUCACUUCUAGUUAGUUUUACAUGCAGGAUUUUUCUAGAAUCAAAAAAGAAAACCAUCUUAAAUGUAAAAUUAAGAAUGAUAGCAUUAUAAUUGGAA
This 1502-nucleotide long non-coding RNA is filed under the name Coturnix japonica (Japanese quail). Its description in RNAcentral is "lncRNA (ENSCJPG00005013878.1)". Lineage: Eukaryota; Metazoa; Chordata; Aves; Galliformes; Phasianidae. The record is from RNAcentral.